Triticum aestivum (bread wheat) is the source of this 839-nucleotide long non-coding RNA. RefSeq lists it as uncharacterized. The transcript is spliced from 3 exons. Lineage: Eukaryota; Viridiplantae; Streptophyta; Magnoliopsida; Poales; Poaceae. The record is from RefSeq and is a predicted model, not a curated record.
UAUACCUUAUACCUGGUACAUAUUUUUAAGCUGGACACCGGUAACUUUUUGACCUGGACACCGGCCAGCCCACCGAUACAAAACACAAGCCAGUGUAGCAGCCCAUCUAGGUAAAUGCCCACUCGUGAUCGAUCCAUUACUCGAUCCCUGUAUGCGCGCCUGUUGAAAAAACGCUAUCGAUCUAACUAAUUGAUCCCAAUACGCCUGUACGUGCGCCUAUUCUAUUGCUCGUCCGCUCGGCUUCUCCACCCAUCGCCCUUCUCCGCCGCCGCGCUGCCAGUCGCCGGCGCGGCCAGUCGCUGGUCCGUCUGGUUGUCCAUUGAAAUGUUUAAGCAUCGCUAGCCGGCCGCCUCAAUCCUCGCCCACCGAGUGAUUGUUGGAAAUUUGAGGGUUUUAAAAUAUGAAGGUAUUAUAAUUGAGAACAAUUCACUGCGAUUCACAUCUAACAGGGGAGGAUUAUUUCAGCGAGAACGACAAAGCACAAUAUCGACCUAGUUGGUACUUCUGAUGAUGAAAUCAUAAAUUGGAACAUGAAGAACGGCGACGCCUUCAUUCAGAACACACGCUAGGGGAGCCCGUAAUAUGGUAUUCUUGAGGAGAUGAAAUCAGAUGAGAUGUAUGUCGUGUAGGGUUGUUGGAGGAGUGCAAGGAAACAAAAUUAUGGGCAGUUUGAUGCUCCAAUAGCUUGCUAUUAUCCUGUAUCAACUAUAGCAGCAGCGAAGUUGCUUGCUAUGUAUCAAGGCAGAGUAGAAUUUGAGCCUUGAGUAUUGUUUGUGUGUGUAUGCUACAUUCUAUUUCCCCACUGGAGCAUGUUCCGGUGGAGAUAUUAUAUUUCCUGU